CUAUACUGCAAGUCGAGCGGAAGAAGGGAGCUUGCUCCCGGAUGUUAGCGGCGGACGGGUGAGUAACACGUGGGUAACCUGCCUGUAAGACUGGGAUAACUCCGGGAAACCGGAGCUAAUACCGGAUAGUUCCUUGAACCGCAUGGUUCAAGGAUGAAAGACGGUUUCGGCUGUCACUUACAGAUGGACCCGCGGCGCAUUAGCUAGUUGGUGAGGUAACGGCUCACCAAGGCGACGAUGCGUAGCCGACCUGAGAGGGUGAUCGGCCACACUGGGACUGAGACACGGCCCAGACUCCUACGGGAGGCAGCAGUAGGGAAUCUUCCGCAAUGGACGAAAGUCUGACGGAGCAACGCCGCGUGAGUGAUGAAGGUUUUCGGAUCGUAAAGCUCUGUUGUUAGGGAAGAACAAGUGCAAGAGUAACUGCUUGCACCUUGACGGUACCUAACCAGAAAGCCACGGCUAACUACGUGCCAGCAGCCGCGGUAAUACGUAGGUGGCAAGCGUUGUCCGGAAUUAUUGGGCGUAAAGGGCUCGCAGGCGGUUUCUUAAGUCUGAUGUGAAAGCCCCCGGCUCAACCGGGGAGGGUCAUUGGAAACUGGGAAACUUGAGUGCAGAAGAGGAGAGUGGAAUUCCACGUGUAGCGGUGAAAUGCGUAGAGAUGUGGAGGAACACCAGUGGCGAAGGCGACUCUCUGGUCUGUAACUGACGCUGAGGAGCGAAAGCGUGGGGAGCGAACAGGAUUAGAUACCCUGGUAGUCCACGCCGUAAACGAUGAGUGCUAAGUGUUAGGGGGUUUCCGCCCCUUAGUGCUGCAGCUAACGCAUUAAGCACUCCGCCUGGGGAGUACGGUCGCAAGACUGAAACUCAAAGGAAUUGACGGGGGCCCGCACAAGCGGUGGAGCAUGUGGUUUAAUUCGAAGCAACGCGAAGAACCUUACCAGGUCUUGACAUCCUCUGACAACCCUAGAGAUAGGGCUUUCCCUUCGGGGACAGAGUGACAGGUGGUGCAUGGUUGUCGUCAGCUCGUGUCGUGAGAUGUUGGGUUAAGUCCCGCAACGAGCGCAACCCUUGAUCUUAGUUGCCAGCAUUCAGUUGGGCACUCUAAGGUGACUGCCGGUGACAAACCGGAAGAAAGGUGGGGGAUGAGUCAAAUCAUCAUGCCCCUUAUGACCUGGGCUACCACCUUGCUACAAUGGAAACAAAGGUUCGAAACCCAAGGUUUACCAA
RNAcentral lists this ribosomal RNA (1230 nucleotides) under Bacillus sp. (in: firmicutes). RNAcentral's name for it is "bacterial SSU rRNA". It matches the Rfam family "Bacterial small subunit ribosomal RNA", at positions 49 to 1271 of the family's 1533-position model. The record is from RNAcentral. Lineage: Bacteria; Bacillati; Bacillota; Bacilli; Caryophanales; Bacillaceae.